Molecule: long non-coding RNA, 596 nt
Organism: Manacus vitellinus (golden-collared manakin)
Lineage: Eukaryota; Metazoa; Chordata; Aves; Passeriformes; Pipridae
Source: Ensembl
ACUCAUUUAAAUAAUGCCACUUAUAUUACAGAAUCAUGAUUUUCCUGGUGCAGUAAUACAUACAAUUACUUUAUAUUUCGGCCCAUUCCGUUGAUUUUCAAAAUUAUUGAUUAAUCUAACUGGCAGGUUUCACACAGCUCCUAACAAAGGGCUAUUCAGGCAAUUGAGUCAGUAAAUGGUACUCCCUUGUUUUAAUUGUGGUUAUCUAUACUUAUUGUUGUGUAGCUGGGAAGAUUUUUUGGACAAGAUAUCAUGGAAAAGGGAUGCUUUUGUUUAGUCUUUUUCGACAGAUACAUGACCGAGGCAGCUUUGAAGCCUUUCUGGAAAAUCCUCCUUCCUUCUGUAGAAUGUUUAAUCUUCCUGUGGAGUGUCGAACUAUGAGACUUACUCUGCAGAAUUCCAUUCUUGUGCCAUACAGACGAGUAAGAACUACUCAGGUAAAUGAGACAAGAGGAGUACACCAGGAUGAAACUGGGAGAGGACCAGACUUGGAAUGCAGCAGCUGUGAAAGGACAGUAAGAGAACACAAACUGCCAGGUGUGAAUGUGAGAAGGGGGUGGUACAAUAAACACAUGGAAGUGGAAGAAGGAUGUUCU